RNAcentral lists this ribosomal RNA (116 nucleotides) under Fusarium culmorum CS7071. The record is from RNAcentral. Lineage: Eukaryota; Fungi; Ascomycota; Sordariomycetes; Hypocreales; Nectriaceae.
ACGACCAUACCUACCAGAAAAUACGGGAUCCCGUCCGCUCUCCCAUAGUCAAGCUGGUAAGAGGCGGAUUAGUAGUUGGGUCGGUGACGACCAGCGAAUUCCCGCUGUUGUAUGUU